GAUGAACGCUAGCGGCAGGCCUAACACAUGCAAGUCGAGCGGGAUCCACCUUCGGGUGGUGAGAGCGGCGCACGGGUGCGUAACGCGUAUACAACCUACCUUUUGCUACGGGAUAGCCCAGGGAAACUUGGAUUAACACCGUAUAGUAUACAGAUUCCUCAUGGAGAUUGUAUUAAAGGCUACGGCAAAAGAUGGGUAUG
RNAcentral lists this ribosomal RNA (200 nucleotides) under uncultured bacterium. RNAcentral describes it as "partial 16S ribosomal RNA". It matches the Rfam family "Bacterial small subunit ribosomal RNA", at positions 28 to 233 of the family's 1533-position model. The record is from RNAcentral.